CCUGACUGACCGAUAGUGAACCAGUACCGUGAGGGAAAGGCGAAAAGAACCCCGGCGAGGGGAGUGAAAAAGAACCUGAAACCGUGUACGUACAAGCAGUGGGAGCCUCUUAAUGGGGUGACUGCGUACCUUUUGUAUAAUGGGUCAGCGACUUAUAUUCUGUAGCAAGGUUAACCGAAUAGGGGAGCCGAAGGGAAACCGAGUCUUAACUGGGCGUUAAGUUGCAGGGUAUAGACCCGAAACCCGGUGAUCUAGCCAUGGGCAGGUUGAAGGUUGGGUAACACUAACUGGAGGACCGAACCGACUAAUGUUGAAAAAUUAGCGGAUGACUUGUGGCUGGGGGUGAAAGGCCAAUCAAACCGGGAGAUAGCUGGUUCUCCCCGAAAGCUAUUUAGGUAGCGCCUCGUGAAUUCAUCUCCGGGGGUAGAGCACUGUUUCGGCAAGGGGGUCAUCCCGACUUACCAACCCGAUGCAAACUGCGAAUACCGGAGAAUGUUAUCACGGGAGACACACGGCGGGUGCUAACGUCCGUCGUGAAGAGGGAAACAACCCAGACCGCCAGCUAAGGUCCCAAAGUCAUGGUUAAGUGGGAAACGAUGUGGGAAGGCCCAGACAGCCAGGAUGUUGGCUUAGAAGCAGCCAUCAUUUAAAGAAAGCGUAAUAGCUCACUGGUCGAGUCGGCCUGCGCGGAAGAUGUAACGGGGCUAAACCAUGCACCGAAGCUGCGGCAGCGACGCUUAUGCGUUGUUGGGUAGGGGAGCGUUCUGUAAGCCUGUGAAGGUGGCCUGUGAGGGUUGCUGGAGGUAUCAGAAGUGCGAAUGCUGACAUAAGUAACGAUAAAGCGGGUGAAAAGCCCGCUCGCCGGAAGACCAAGGGUUCCUGUCCAACGUUAAUCGGGGCAGGGUGAGUCGACCCCUAAGGCGAGGCCGAAAGGCGUAGUCGAUGGGAAACAGGUUAAUAUUCCUGUACUUGGUGUUACUGCGAAGGGGGGACGGAGAAGGCUAUGUUGGCCGGGCGACGGUUGUCCCGGUUUAAGCGUGUAGGCUGGUUUUCCAGGCAAAUCCGGAAAAUCAAGGCUGAGGCGUGAUGACGAGGCACUACGGUGCUGAAGCGACAAAUGCCCUGCUUCCAGGAAAAGCCUCUAAGCAUCAGGUAACAU
RNAcentral lists this ribosomal RNA (1159 nucleotides) under Escherichia coli. RNAcentral's name for it is "partial 23S ribosomal RNA". It matches the Rfam family "Bacterial large subunit ribosomal RNA", at positions 475 to 1637 of the family's 2925-position model. Lineage: Bacteria; Pseudomonadati; Pseudomonadota; Gammaproteobacteria; Enterobacterales; Enterobacteriaceae. The record is from RNAcentral.